This 465-nucleotide ribosomal RNA is filed under the name Vreelandella stevensii. RNAcentral's name for it is "partial 16S ribosomal RNA". It matches the Rfam family "Bacterial small subunit ribosomal RNA", at positions 338 to 795 of the family's 1533-position model. The record is from RNAcentral. Lineage: Bacteria; Pseudomonadati; Pseudomonadota; Gammaproteobacteria; Oceanospirillales; Halomonadaceae.
CCUACGGGUGGCAGCAGUGGGGAAUAUUGGACAAUGGGGGGAACCCUGAUCCAGCCAUGCCGCGUGUGUGAAGAAGGCCCUCGGGUUGUAAAGCACUUUCAGUGAGGAAGAACGCCUGGUGGUUAAUACCCAUCAGGAAAGACAUCACUCACAGAAGAAGCACCGGCUAACUCCGUGCCAGCAGCCGCGGUAAUACGGAGGGUGCGAGCGUUAAUCGGAAUUACUGGGCGUAAAGCGCGCGUAGGUGGCUUGGUAAGCCGGUUGUGAAAGCCCCGGGCUCAACCUGGGAACGGCAUCCGGAACUGUCAAGCUAGAGUGCAGGAGAGGAAGGUAGAAUUCCCGGUGUAGCGGUGAAAUGCGUAGAGAUCGGGAGGAAUACCAGUGGCGAAGGCGGCCUUCUGGACUGACACUGACACUGAGGUGCGAAAGCGUGGGUAGCAAACAGGAUUAGAUACCCCAGUAGUC